GAUGAACGCUAGCUACAGGCUUAACACAUGCAAGUCGAGGGGAAACGACAUCGAAAGCUUGCUUUUGAUGGGCGUCGACCGGCGCACGGGUGAGUAACGCGUAUCCAACCUGCCCAUCACUUGGGAAUAACCUUGCGAAAGUAAGACUAAUACCCAAUGACAUCCCACGAAGACAUCUGAAUGGGAUUAAAGAUUUAUCGGUGAUGGAUGGGGAUGCGUCUGAUUAGCUUGUUGGCGGGGUAACGGCCCACCAAGGCAACGAUCAGUAGGGGUUCUGAGAGGAAGGUCCCCCACAUUGGAACUGAGACACGGUCCAAACUCCUACGGGAGGCAGCAGUGAGGAAUAUUGGUCAAUGGGCGAGAGCCUGAACCAGCCAAGUAACGUGCAGGAUGACGGCCCUAUGGGUUGUAAACUGCUUUUAUAAGGGAAUAAAGUGGGUCUCGUGAGACUUUUUGCAUGUACCUUAUGAAUAAGGACCGGCUAAUUCCGUG
RNAcentral lists this ribosomal RNA (492 nucleotides) under uncultured bacterium. RNAcentral's name for it is "partial 16S ribosomal RNA". It matches the Rfam family "Bacterial small subunit ribosomal RNA", at positions 28 to 507 of the family's 1533-position model. The record is from RNAcentral.